Molecule: ribosomal RNA, 403 nt
Filed under: Fusobacteriota bacterium
Lineage: Bacteria; Fusobacteriati; Fusobacteriota
Description: Fusobacteria bacterium partial 16S ribosomal RNA
Rfam family: Bacterial small subunit ribosomal RNA
Source: RNAcentral
UGGGGAAUAUUGCACAAUGGAGGGAACUCUGAUGCAGCGACGCCGCGUGAACGAAGAAGGCUUUCGAGUCGUAAAGUUCUUUUAUAUGGGAAGAUAAUGACGGUACCAUAAGAAAAAGCCCCGGCUAACUACGUGCCAGCAGCCGCGGUAAUACGUAGGGGGCUAGCGUUGUCCGGAAUCACUGGGCGUAAAGGGUUCGCAGGCGGAAAUGCAAGUCAGGUGUAAAAGGCAGUAGCUUAACUACUGUAAGCAUUUGAAACUGCAUAUCUUGAGAAGAGUAGAGGUAAGUGGAAUUUGUGGUGUAGCGAUGAGAUGCGUAGAUAUUAAAAAGAAUACCGGUGGCGAAGGCGACUUACUGGGCUCAUUCUGACGCUGAGGAACGAAAGCGUGGGUAGCAAACAGG